RNAcentral lists this ribosomal RNA (683 nucleotides) under Shigella flexneri. RNAcentral's name for it is "bacterial SSU rRNA". It matches the Rfam family "Bacterial small subunit ribosomal RNA", at positions 767 to 1450 of the family's 1533-position model. The record is from RNAcentral. Lineage: Bacteria; Pseudomonadati; Pseudomonadota; Gammaproteobacteria; Enterobacterales; Enterobacteriaceae.
AGCAAACAGGAUUAGAUACCCUGGUAGUCCACGCUGUAAACGAUGUCGACUUGGAGGUUGUGCCCUUGAGGUGUGGCUUCCGGAGCUAACGCGUUAAGUCGACCGCCUGGGGAGUACGGCCGCAAGGUUAAAACUCAAAUGAAUUGACGGGGGCCCGCACAAGCGGUGGAGCAUGUGGUUUAAUUCGAUGCAACGCGAAGAACCUUACCUGGUCUUGACAUCCACGGAAGUUUUCAGAGAUGAGAAUGUGCCUUCGGGAACCGUGAGACAGGUGCUGCAUGGCUGUCGUCAGCUCGUGUUGUGAAAUGUUGGGUUAAGUCCCGCAACGAGCGCAACCCUUAUCCUUUGUUGCCAGCGGUCCGGCCGGGAACUCAAAGGAGACUGCCAGUGAUAAACUGGAGGAAGGUGGGGAUGACGUCAAGUCAUCAUGGCCCUUACGACCAGGGCUACACACGUGCUACAAUGGCGCAUACAAAGAGAAGCGACCUCGCGAGAGCAAGCGGACCUCAUAAAGUGCGUCGUAGUCCGGAUUGGAGUCUGCAACUCGACUCCAUGAAGUCGGAAUCGCUAGUAAUCGUGGAUCAGAAUGCCACGGUGAAUACGUUCCCGGGCCUUGUACACACCGCCCGUCACACCAUGGGAGUGGGUUGCAAAAGAAGUAGGUAGCUUAACCUUCGGGAGGG